AUUGAAUGCUGGCGGCAGGCCUAACACAUGCAAGUCGAACGAGUGGCGGACGGGUGAGUAAUGUCUGGGAAACUGCCCGAUGGAGGGGGAUAACUACUGGAAACGGGAGCUAAUACCGCAUACCAUCAGAUGUGCCCAGAUGGGAUUAGCUAGUUGGUGGGGUAACGGCUCACCUAGGCGACGAUCCCUAGCUGGUCUGAGAGGAUGACCAGCCACAAUGGAACGGAGACACGGUCCAGACUCCUACGGGAGGCAGCAGUGGGGAAUAUUGCACAAUGGGCGCAAGCCUGAUGCAGCCAUGCCGCGUGUGUGAAGAAGGCCUUGGGGUUGUAAAGCACUGUCAGCGGGGAGGCGUUACCCGCAGAAGAAGCACCGGCUAACGCCGUGCCAGCAGCCGCGGUAAUAC
RNAcentral lists this ribosomal RNA (406 nucleotides) under uncultured bacterium. RNAcentral describes it as "partial 16S ribosomal RNA". It matches the Rfam family "Bacterial small subunit ribosomal RNA", at positions 29 to 526 of the family's 1533-position model. The record is from RNAcentral.